Molecule: long non-coding RNA, 355 nt
Filed under: Olea europaea (common olive)
Lineage: Eukaryota; Viridiplantae; Streptophyta; Magnoliopsida; Lamiales; Oleaceae
Description: long non-coding RNA (OEUR_LNC015372)
Source: RNAcentral
GCUAGUGAUUAUACAAUCACUUUUGGUAACUUACAGUAGUUGUUGCUUCUAGAAUAAAAAAGAUGCCAAAAUAUUUGAAGCAACGUUUACAUUUCAAAAACAGUAACACAUUCAGGUUGAAGUUACUGCACAUCUAGAGCUGAUUUUUUUCUGCUUACUAACAUAAGAGACACUCCUAGAGUUGUCUAUUAUAACAAAAGAACAUGGAUUUUUGUCAUUCCUUUUUUUGUUUGAAAGUUAUUGUUUUGGUUUCUUCAUCCAAUUUGUAGUUUGUGGCUGCUUUUGUCUUCUUCUUUGGUUCUGCUUCAGUUGCUUUUUCUGGUACUUGGAAUAGAGUUCUCUUUGCAUUUAGUGU